CGGGACGGGUGAGUAAUGUCUGGGAAACUGCCCGAUGGAGGGGGAUAACUACUGGAAACGGUAGCUAAUACCGCAUAAUGUCUGCGGACCAAAGCGGGGGACCUCCGGGCCUCGCGCCAUCAGAUGAACCCAUAUGGGAUUAGCUAGUAGGUGGGGUAACGGCUCACCUAGGCGACGAUCCCUAGCUGGUCUGAGAGGAUGACCAGCCACACUGGAACUGAGACACGGUCCAG
This 233-nucleotide ribosomal RNA is filed under the name uncultured bacterium. RNAcentral describes it as "partial 16S ribosomal RNA". It matches the Rfam family "Bacterial small subunit ribosomal RNA", at positions 100 to 334 of the family's 1533-position model. The record is from RNAcentral.